RNAcentral lists this ribosomal RNA (253 nucleotides) under uncultured bacterium. RNAcentral's name for it is "partial 16S ribosomal RNA". It matches the Rfam family "Bacterial small subunit ribosomal RNA", at positions 524 to 776 of the family's 1533-position model. The record is from RNAcentral.
UACGUAGGGGGCAAGCGUUGUCCGGAUUCACUGGGUGUAAAGGGCGCGUAGGCGGGCUUGCUAGUCAGAGGUGAAAUCCUGCGGCUUAACCGUAGAACUGCCUUUGAUACUGCAAGUCUUGAGUGCGGAAGAGAGAGACGGAAUUCCAGGUGUAGUGGUGAAAUACGUAGAUAUCUGGAAGAACACCAGUGGCGAAGGCGGUCUCUUGGUCCGUUACUGACGCUGAGGCGCGAAAGCGUGGGGAGCAAACAGG